CAGCUCGUGCCGUGAGGUGUCGGGUUAAGUCCCAUAACGAGCGCAACCCCUACCUUUAGUUGCCAUCAGGUAAUGCUGGGGACUCUAAAGGAACUGCCUACGCAAGUAGUGAGGAAGGCCGGGGAUGACGUCAAAUCAGCACGGCCCUUACGUCCAGGGCUACACACGUGCUACAAAUGGCCGAUACAGAGGGCAGCUACCUGGUGACAGGAUGCAAAUCUCCAAAGUCGGUCUCAGUUCGGAUCGGAGUCUGCAACCCGACUCCGUGAAGUUGGAUUCGCUAGUAAUCGCGCACCAGCCAUGGCGCGGUGAAUACGGUUCCCGGGCCUC
Molecule: ribosomal RNA, 330 nt
Filed under: uncultured Sphingobacteriales bacterium
Lineage: Bacteria; Pseudomonadati; Bacteroidota; Sphingobacteriia; Sphingobacteriales
Description: bacterial SSU rRNA
Rfam family: Bacterial small subunit ribosomal RNA
Source: RNAcentral